This is a long non-coding RNA of Amyelois transitella, 3730 nucleotides long. RefSeq lists it as uncharacterized. The record is from RefSeq and is a predicted model, not a curated record. The transcript is spliced from 2 exons. Lineage: Eukaryota; Metazoa; Arthropoda; Insecta; Lepidoptera; Pyralidae.
UUCCUGCGCCGCGCCGGCCCGCCCGCGCUGCUCGUGCCGCUCAUGCAGCACCACGCUGCGCAGUCAGUAUUACACUCAUUGCCUUACUGCUGACAUCGAGCCGGCGCAGCGCCCGCCCGCCGCGCGCCUGCUGCUGCACCCGUUCCUGCGCCGCGCCGGCCCGCCCGCGCUGCUCGUGCCGCUCAUGCAGCACCACGCUGCGCAGUCAGUAUUACACUCAUUGCCUUACUGCUGACAUCGAGCCGGCGCAGCGCCCGCCCGCCGCGCGCCUGCUGCUGCACCCGUUCCUGCGCCGCGCCGGCCCGCCCGCGCUGCUCGUGCCGCUCAUGCAGCACCACGCUGCGCAGUCAGUAUUACACUCAUUGCCUUACUGCUGACAUCGAGCCGGCGCAGCGCCCGCCCGCCGCGCGCCUGCUGCUGCACCCGUUCCUGCGCCGCGCCGGCCCGCCCGCGCUGCUCGUGCCGCUCAUGCAGCACCACGCUGCGCAGUCAGUAUUACACUCAUUGCCUUACUGCUGACAUCGAGCCGGCGCAGCGCCCGCCCGCCGCGCGCCUGCUGCUGCACCCGUUCCUGCGCCGCGCCGGCCCGCCCGCGCUGCUCGUGCCGCUCAUGCAGCACCACGCUGCGCAGUCAGUAUUACACUCAUUGCCUUACUGCUGACAUCGAGCCGGCGCAGCGCCCGCCCGCCGCGCGCCUGCUGCUGCACCCGUUCCUGCGCCGCGCCGGCCCGCCCGCGCUGCUCGUGCCGCUCAUGCAGCACCACGCUGCGCAGUAACCAAGGCGACAACCCCACCUCUUUCGAUCGAUUCGAUAAUGUACAAUAGAAAAGUAGCGUAUUUAUUGCACUGAAGUGAUUUUAUAUUUAUUGACUUUUAUAAAUGAGCUUAGAGGUUAGCCAAGAUGCAACACCUUUUAUACUCAUCAAUAUUUUAUCACAAUUAACAUUCACCAGUAAUAUCUAGUUAUGAAUAACUUAUUAAUAGAACCAAAGUAUUUUAACAAACAUGAUCAAAAUCACUAACAACUAUUUAUUUCUUUUAUAAUGAUCAUCUUCAUUUGUCCAUCCAUAAGCUGAUCCAAAGAACUAUGUUCAUAAAAAAUAUGCUUCAUGUCUUAAAAUAAUCACAUAAGUUUUUGGGUUGGAAAUUUAAGCUCCAGUGAUGUUAAUUUUAUGGGGAUUUUGAUAUAAGGGGAUUUUUAAUCAAAGGCACGGAUCAUCGAUUAGUAAUCAUUUACUUGAAUUUGAAUAACUAAGAAAAUUUUGACUGCAUUGAUAAAGAUCAUUUUUUUAUUAUUUUAUAAAGAUAUAAUGGAUAAAGAUAGAAAUAAGCUUAAGACUUAAUAAUCCUACCAUAUUAAUUUGUUUUAAAAAGCUUAUGUAUUCAGGACUGUUUCCAAUUAAUAUCUUUAUAAUAAUAUUAACAGAAGUUUAAAAAAAAAAAAUGUAACAUGUAAUAAGUAUUAUAAUUUUGGUAGUACUACUUUUGAUAACUAUUGUUAAAAUGUUAAUACUUAUUACAUUUCUUGGUAAACUAAGGUUGUCAUAUGAAAAAAGAAAUAAAAUUUUAUAUCUUAAUCAAAUUCGGAAAAUUUUGAUCAUUUUUUUAAAGAGAUCCCUGCCAUUUGAUAAAGACGAUCUUUGGUAGUCAAAACUUUUUACUUGCUAUAAAAUGACUACAUUAAGUUUAUUAUUUUUUAUACUUUAUACAUUUGAAAUCAAGCAUGCCUUUUUCACAUUCCUUAUCAAUUACUUUCCAUGAAUUUUAUAAGCUUUUUUUUGUUAAAUUAUAUUUAAUGUGUUAAUUUUAUUGCCAUAAAAUAGUUUGUUGAUUAGGUGAAAUUGUUGAAACUAGUGUUGUAGGGUUUUUUGGACGAUCUUAACUAAAGAAGCAUAUUUUCCGUCUUCUUUGCACCAUUCAUUCUUAUAAGCGUGUAUAGUAAGAUUUCAUAAUUUCAGACAUUUGAAAAGCUUUUAUAUUAAGGUUCCCGUGAUGAUGUACUCAAAUCAUGCAUGUUCAACUUUGAUCUACUUUUCAUUGCUAGUUUGAUUUGAAAUAUAUAGAAGGGUUGAGUUGGAUGACAUAACUCAAAGAAAUGAAAGCUUUGACGAAAAAAUAUUCAAACAAUUAAAUUUGAAUACUUGUUGAAUAGAAAAAUAAAACUGUCGUGUUUGACUCGGGUGUCUUGCGGUAUCUCCUAGCUAGAGGGAACCACAUUUUUCACUUUUUAGUGAUAGGGUUAUAAAUCCAGAUAGUAUAUAUAGGCUAUAAGACUAACCCUUUAUUGACUGUUGACUGUCUUGUUUUAAAUAUUUUCGCCCGUCCAUUUACAUUCGCCACUUACGUACAAUCAUUUAAGACUACACUAACAUUUAUUAUAAUUGUUGAUCAUUCUAUGGUAUGAUAUGCCUUUAUAACUUUUCUAUUUUCGUAUCAAAAAUAAUAUUAAAAUUAUAUGUAGUAUGCUAGAUUAUAAUAUCUCAUAUUUAUCCUAUUGUUUUUUUAUACUUGUUGAUAUGUCUAAGCAGAAUUGCAGAGUGCCACAAAUUUGUACCCUUUUUGUAUUCAUUGGACAAAUAAUUUCAAAAUCAGUAUUAUUGAACUACAAAUCGUUAUGUACUUAUUUUUUUAUUAUAAAUAUAAAAUUAGGUGAUAUUUUAUAUCAUUAGUUGUAGUGUUUUCUUGUAUUAAGCUUGUUUUAUACAUUCCGACUAAAAAGCAUUGCAUAUUUAUGUAUUCAAUUGAAUCAAAUACCGAAUUGUUAAUAGAAACGUUUUUUGCCCAAUCGCUCGUUAAUUAAAGAAAAAAACAUAAAAAUGACACUUUUCACUGUAAUAUUUUUUUAUUGUAUUAUGUAAACACCAAUGUAUAUUAGAGCGAGGCAGAAUUGAAAUAACAGAGUAACUUUACUACCAUAUUUAUUGUGUUCUGAGCAACAUUAAAAGUAACAUUUUGGAUUCCAUAUACUUACAUUUACUAUGUAUUUUACUUUGCAAAACCGAGCGGCAUGGUUAAUGACAUUUAUCAUGAUUUAAUUUUUAAUGAGACGUCACAAAUUAUAGCAUACAUCCCAGUUUCAGUAAAUUUGUAAGAUAACGUUAGACUACUGUUACCCAUGACAAUUUUCACUUAAAUCUUGCUCAAAAGCUGACACAAUUUGCCUGUUAUGUAGAUUGAAUGAUAUUAUAUUAAUAUUAGCAAUUUGAAAACAUAUUAUAUGAGGCCUUCUUACAUUGACGCACUAUGAGAUUAGAAUAGAAUGAAUACUAAUUAUACAAAUAUAAAUAUACACUUUAAAGCACGUGUUGUAUGUAAAAAUAUGUUUGUACUUAAAAAUUAGACAGCUAGAUUUUAAUAUCUGUCAAAACUUUUUUCUUUUACACACUUUGCCUUAAAUAGAAUUAGUGCCUUAACGCAGCCUAAUGUCAUUCAUACACCUGUUAUUAUUAGUAUGUAAUAAUAAUAUAUUGACAAUAGUUUGAAACUAGCUUCCGUCCGUCGCUGUUCUUAAUCCGCUAUCCAUGAAAUGAGGGUUCUUUAAAAAUUUUUUAUUAGAUAUGAGAUUAUUAUUUUCUAUAAUGCAUGUCAUAGUCAGGAUUGGGAUUUUUCGAUCAUACUGGAAUACUUCUGACAAACUUACGUUAAAUAGACAAAAGAAUACCGUUAGCACGUUGUGAGAUUUAGACAUGAACAAUUCUUAACGUAAAUCGGUUUCGUUUUUUUAUUUGUA